UAAUAAAACAAUAACCUGUCCUGAAUAUUGUUUAAAAUUCAACCUUUAUUUUUCACAAUAUUUUUUUUAAAAUUGAGACAUAAUUUGAAUAGAAGGUUUUUGGACAGUUUAAGACAACAUUGUUUUGGACAAAGGGGUUUCGGAUAGGACGGUUUAAACCAUUCUGUCCUAAACCUUGCCAACUCUGACUAGAUGUCAUUUAUAUAUGUUGUAUUUACUAUUAGAAUACAUAAAAUAGUGGGGUUUUUUUUUUCUUUCCAGUUCAGUAUACAAGAUUUUCCAUAAAGUUCCUUCUUAAUAUAAGCAGUAAAUAAGAUGGAGAAUUCGGUAUAUUUUUAAUGCAGUCAUGAUUAGCAGCAUUUGUCCAAUUAACUCUCAAGACUCUAGUAUCAGCCAAGAUUGUGUUUUACUUUGGAAGAAUAAAAUUGUCCCUCAAGUGUCGGGACGGAAAUAAGUUUAGAGCUGCUUUUGAGACUUCGGCCCAUGGACUACCCUUGCCUUCUCCCUUCCAGAGUCAACACCGAUGGAAAUCCCGUCAACUGAAGCAGGGCUUGUCAGAAAGGCCUAGGGCCCACACAUGUCUGGGAGACUCCGAAAUAUUAAACAUUUUAUGCGUGUUUUUUCCUAAAGAAUUGUCUAUUAAUUUGAGCUAACAAAAAUUGAAAUUAAAAAAAAGCACAAAUUUA
This is a non-coding RNA of Parasteatoda tepidariorum (common house spider), 686 nucleotides long. The record is from RefSeq and is a predicted model, not a curated record. Lineage: Eukaryota; Metazoa; Arthropoda; Arachnida; Araneae; Theridiidae.